Halichondria panicea is the source of this 1005-nucleotide long non-coding RNA. RefSeq lists it as uncharacterized. The transcript is spliced from 4 exons. The record is from RefSeq and is a predicted model, not a curated record. Lineage: Eukaryota; Metazoa; Porifera; Demospongiae; Suberitida; Halichondriidae.
AGACCCAUCACGACAGAAAACUUUCUUUUGAUUUUCUCGGCUCUCUGUAUAAUUGUAUGGUCAUAGCAACCUGCUGCCCGUACAACCGCGAUGCACAGUCGCUCUAUGUUGUCAGCCUGUGGAGAGCAAAGUCCAAGUAAGGGACUGCCUUCUGACGUUAAAAUUGUCGAGGGCUGCAUCGAGGGCUUUAAUAAAUGGGCCAUCCUCUUUCUUGAACCCUUUCGAUAUGGUGGCGUUCAGUUUAGCCAACUCAGUAUCCUAAAUCAUUUGUAUGAUUAUAAUGUCUUAGUGUACCUAUUAGCACAUACCAGUUUGUUUGCUCGCAGGGCUUUCUCCUCGAGCUCGGAGCGGAGGGCUUGCAGUCGUGGGUCAUCCUCCUCCUCACCUUCCUCACCCUCACCUAGCACAACCAGUAGAGCCACCAGAUCGUUGAGUUCAUCAACUUCUUCGUUUGCCCUACAAAAUAAUGUAUUUUAAAUCUCUCUAUAUUUUCCAUGUAAUUUGUGGUACAUGUACUAACCUGUUCAGCUCAUCCUUGAGGGUCCUGGCUCUGGCAAAGUCGUCCACAUAGUGGGAGUAAGAUGGGCCACCCCUCUCUCGACUGUCUUGUUCUCCUCUGACUUCCAUGUCCAGCUGGUGGCACUCAUCUUCCAUCAAUGGAGAACAGGCGAUAGAAAAUCCCUAAACUGCAGUCCUGGGGGGCAAACCUGCAUCCAAUUAAUGAAUAAGCUGCAACAAAGCUGCGGUGGUCUUGCAGGAUGCUGUCAGUGCUUCUGGUUGGAACAUUGGCGGGUGGAUCACGCAGCUGCUCUGAUUUGAUCACACACCAUAAGCAGCAAUGUCGGCCUAUUCAUAUGAUACAAGUACCUCCAUGUCUUGUUGUGAAGACUGUCCACCUCAUGUUCGUACCUCUGCAAAGCAAUCUUGAGGUUGGUGACAUUGUCUGGAGCUUCAAACACGCAGAAGGCACAAGUGUUGACUGGGGAAUUGGGGUGAUCAAUGUUG